Long non-coding RNA from Oreochromis niloticus (Nile tilapia), 521 nucleotides. RefSeq lists it as uncharacterized. The record is from RefSeq and is a predicted model, not a curated record. The transcript is spliced from 3 exons. NCBI's taxonomy places the organism in Eukaryota, Metazoa, Chordata, Actinopteri, Cichliformes, Cichlidae.
AGCGUCUGGUCGGGUGUGGUCCAGGUUCCUGUUGUCCGUCCCCUGGGGUGGAGUUGGCCAGCUCAUCACCUGCUUCCAAUUUCCGGGGCUCCAUCUAGAGGGUUUUUAAGCCAGCACUGCCUGCCACUCCUCGCCAGUUCGUCCUGCUACCACCCGUGAUUCAUCACCCGUCGUACUCAUCAGCAGCGCUGGUUCUGUUUCCGUCCCGUUCUCCAGUCUGCCCACAACCCUAGGACCACACACUCAUCUUCUCCUCAGCCUGCCCUCCAGCCCGUACUUCAACUUCCCUGGACACCUUGGAACCUGGACCAGCCUCCCCACACUCUCAACCAUCCCUGGGACGCUCCCACGGCAACCCCUUCCCCGCCUAAUAGCUGGUGUUUUCAAAAGUUCCCGCCCGUGUUCUCCCUGUGUUCUACGUCCGUUUCUCCGCCCUCGGGCCUCCCUCAGUUCCUGCGAAUGAUUUCUGUUAGACCCGGUUUUGUUUAAGUUCCUUUUCCUUUCAAUAAAUUGUACAUAGU